AAAGUUGUUGCGGUUAAAAAGCUCGUAGUCGGAGGUGUGUCUCGGACGGUCGGUUCGCCGCUUGUCGGUGCUCAACUGGCCGGUCCGGACGUCCUGCCGGUGGGGCCGCGAGGCCCCGUCAUCCUUCUUUGGUCCUCUUCACCGAGUGCCUUGGUGGGCCGGCACGUUUACUUUGAACAAAUUAGAGUGCUCAAAGCAGGCCGUUGGUCGCCUGAAUACUGUGUGCAUGGAAUAAUGGAAUAGGACCUCGGUUCCAUUUUGUUGGUUUUCAGAACUCGAGGUAAUGAUUAAUAGGGACGGACGGGGGCAUUCGUAUUGCGACGUUAGAGGUGAAAUUCUUGGAUCGUCGCAAGACGAACCGAUGCGAAAGCAUUUGCCAAGAACGUUUUCGUUGAUCAAGAACGAAAGUUAGAGGUUCGAAGGCGAUCAGAUACCGCCCUAGUUCUAACCAUAAACGAUGCCAGCUAGCCAUCCGCCGAAGUUCCUUCUAUGACUCGGCGGGCAGCUUCCGGGAAACCAAAGCUCUUGGGUUCCGGGGGAAGUAUGGUUGCAAAGCUCAAACUUAAAGGAAUUG
This 574-nucleotide ribosomal RNA is filed under the name Ceriagrion aeruginosum. RNAcentral's name for it is "SSU rRNA". It matches the Rfam family "Eukaryotic small subunit ribosomal RNA", at positions 606 to 1155 of the family's 1831-position model. The record is from RNAcentral. Lineage: Eukaryota; Metazoa; Arthropoda; Insecta; Odonata; Coenagrionidae.